Molecule: small nuclear RNA, 79 nt
Filed under: Homo sapiens (human)
Lineage: Eukaryota; Metazoa; Chordata; Mammalia; Primates; Hominidae
Description: partial ncRNA
Source: RNAcentral
AGAGAAUUGCUUGAACCCAGGAGGCAGAGGUUGCCGUGAGCUGAGAUCCUGCCACUGCACUCCAGCCUGGGUGACAGAG